Molecule: ribosomal RNA, 253 nt
Filed under: uncultured bacterium
Lineage: Bacteria
Description: partial 16S ribosomal RNA
Rfam family: Bacterial small subunit ribosomal RNA
Source: RNAcentral
UACGUAGGGUGCGAGCGUUAAUCGGAAUUACUGGGCGUAAAGCGUGCGCAGGCGGUUCGUUGUGUCCGUCGUGAAAGCCCCGGGCUUAACCUGGGAACUGCGAUGGAAACUAGCGAGCUGGAGUGUGGCAGAGGGGGAUGGAAUUCCGCGUGUAGCAGUGAAAUGCGUAGAUAUGCGGAGGAACACCGAUGGCGAAGGCAAUCCCCUGGGCCUGCACUGACGCUCAUGCACGAAAGCGUGGGGAGCAAACAGG